GGGUCUUUAUUUAGACUAGAAAAUCUUUAAAAUCUUUCGGAUCAAAUUUAUUGAUUGAAUUAUUAACACCUGAAGCAGAUUCAUCAUAACAUAUAUAUAUGUGCAUCAUAUUUUACAUGUAUUUAUCUUUUCAUGUACAUAAAAAUAUACAAUCAUGUUAAAAAACUGAGUGUGGGAGGAGCUUCAUAUUAGAAUCAAACAGAAAAACAGUUUCUGUCUGACCGGUUAUACACACACACACCUACACGCACACACCUACACAUACAAACACACACUCACACAUUCAUACUGACCAUUUAGAUUAUAUUGACUAUAUUGAACAUAUAGCUCCUGAAAGAACAUGAGAUUCAGUCCACAUAAAGCUGUAUUCUAUUUCCCUCUGUUGACAGUUUAAAACCAUGAGACGCUGCAGUUUAAAAAUGCGAUUCAAGAUCCAUAAAUCAGAAUUAAAAAAACGAAGAAUUGAAAACAGCAACAAAAAUAUAUGUAUUGAUAAAAUGACGGAGUCAAAAAGACCAAUAGAAUUGAAAGAAAGAGAAGAAGCUGUUAAAUGAUUAUUAGAUCUCUUCCAACAACACAAACACAGAGAGAGGGAGCUCCGUAGAGAAUGACUGGAAACCGGUGAAGUGACGCGGGGGGGUCAGAUUGGAGUUGAGACCGGUCGAGUUCCAUAGAGAAUGAACAGGAAGGGAGAGAGAGAGAGAGAAUCAUCGUCAUGUGGUAGAACAGGUUUGGGCGAGGCGGUCGAGCGAGCCUCACACACACAGUAAAAAGGAGAGAGACACAGAUUUGUACUGUUGCUGGAGUUUCCUUCAGUUUGAGACUUGAUUUGACUUCAGAAGAAAGAGGAUACAACCCGAAGGAGAAGAAGAAGGUUAUCAGAGGUUUCUUGACAACCAGGGAGUGAAGAAGAAGAAGAAGAAGAAGAAGAAGAAGAAGAAGAAGAAGAAGAAGAAGAAGAAGAAGAAGAAGAAGAAACACCUGUGGCCUCUUAACAGAGCUCUCUGAUUGGUCAGAUUUAGAGUGGUCGCCUGUGACACGUCACCAUGUCAUCAAACAUCCACGUUUCCCUCGACAAUCCGUAUGGUCAGGUGACCAUCCCGAGGGCCAAGCUACGCUCCUCUGAUGAUGCUGCCACGGUGAUAGCCAAUCCAAUGGCUCUGAAUAGUAAUGAGGGGAACCCGUACGGGUCAUCGAGCGCUGCCCCCCCACCACCCUACAUGGUGAAGGAAGAUGGAGGGGGGGACGAAGAGGAGGUGAAGUGGUGCCGCGCCUGCUGCUACCGCUGUAGAAAGAACAAAUGAUGUCACAGCAGCAGGACGUGACGUCAAAGCGACAGGAUGUGACGUCAUGACACUAGGAAGAUUGGGAUUGGCUCAGAUUAAUUUAUUCAUCAGUUUUUCUCGGAGAAAUGAAGGAUGGAAGGAAAGGAGACAACUGAGGAGGUGAAUGAUGAGGAAGAAAGGAAGAUUCACCAACUUGAGGAAGUUGCAACCAUUUUGUGUUAGUUUAUGUAAAACUGUAUUAAUUUCUGUUUGUUUAGUUUAAACACUUAAUAGAUACAAAUAAUUUUUAGACAAAGCUUCAAGCUUCAUUUCCUGAAACAGGCUCCACCCCCUGAGGAAAACCAUGAGAUACAGCAGAAAGCCUCAGAAGCAAAACGACCUGAACCUGAACUCGAUGUCUCUGCUGCUUCUGAACUUGUUUCUACUUUAUUUAACAUUUAUACCAACAAAACAACAAUUUCAGUUUUAUUUGUCUGUUAAAUGAUUUUAUUAGUUUCUGUUCUGAUGUUUGAAAAGUAAAGGAGAGACAUCAUUUACACCACGUGGGAGCAGAUCAGACCCAAAAUGGCUGCUGCUGUUGUUACCGGUAAUUUAUCAAUCUUAAGAAAAUAUAUAAACCUUUUAGAGGUUUGUAAUUUCAUUGCUCACCUAAAAUACUCAUAUUCAUUACACUUCAUUAAUACCAGUUUAAACUUAAUUAAUCCAGGUUUAAAAUUGAUUUACCUCCGUUCCUGUUUGAUAUGAGUCUUUACCUCUGAGCAAUUUUUAUUAUCACGGGACUUAGACAUUAAUGAUGACGUUACACAUAAAUUCCUGUAAACUGGACAAAUCAGGUUGAUUGUAGAUUAUUAAUAAUUUCUUUGUUUAUUCAAACAUCUGUUUUGUAUAUAGUUUAUAUUUUAAGAAGUUUUCUCUGCAGAUGAAAUGUUUUCAUUCAGGAAGUGUUGGAGAUUAAAGUGUUUAUAUUUUCAUAUCAAUGACUCUGUGGUGUAAAUUCGAGCAGACAGCAGAAUGUGGUGUUUGCGGUGAAAUAAAAACCAUGUGAAGAG
Molecule: long non-coding RNA, 2335 nt
Organism: Pleuronectes platessa (European plaice)
Lineage: Eukaryota; Metazoa; Chordata; Actinopteri; Pleuronectiformes; Pleuronectidae
Exons: 2
Source: RefSeq, a predicted model, not a curated record